AUGAAGAACGCAGCGAAAUGCGAUAAGUAAUGCGAAUUGCAGAAUUUCCGUGAGUCAUCGAAUCUUUGAACGCACAUUGCGCCCCUUGGUAUUCCAUGGGGCAUGCCUGUUCGAGCGUCAUUUGUACCUUCAAGCUCUGCUUGGUGUUGGGUGUUUGUCUCGCCUCUGCGCGUAGACUCGCCUCAAAACAAUUGGCAGCCGGCGUAUUGAUUUCGGAGCGCAGUACAUCUCGCGCUUUGCACUCAUAACGACGACGUCCAAAAGUACAUUUUUACACUCUUGACCUCGGAUCAGGUAGGGAUACCCGCUGAACUUAAGCAUAUCAAUAAGCGGAGGA
This 337-nucleotide unclassified non-coding RNA is filed under the name soil metagenome. RNAcentral describes it as "partial contains 5.8S ribosomal RNA, internal transcribed spacer 2, and large subunit ribosomal RNA". The stretch from base 1 to 120 matches the Rfam family "5.8S ribosomal RNA", at positions 36 to 154 of the family's 154-position model. The record is from RNAcentral.